UAAACAUCCGGAAUUGCGAUGUGAAAAACCGAAAAAUAAAUUUAAACUCGUCAUAAAAUCAGUGACGUUCCAUUAUGUGUAAUUCCACCUACGAAUUAAUAAAAAUACGAAGAAACAUCACUAUAUACACGGGUUAUUCCCGAUUCUCAACCUCCUGUUGGGUGAAGGUUAAGAAUUAUUGUACUCCGCCACAACCUUGGCACGACUCCAGUAUACAUUUACCUGUCUGUCCAGGUAGGGGGAGGUGUACAACAGUUUUGAAUUGCCUAUACACAUUAGCUAUAAGGAAUUUCCCGUCUGGAGUUAUGGAUUUUCCGGUAUAGAUUAUAAAGAUUGAUUG
This 340-nucleotide long non-coding RNA is filed under the name Androctonus crassicauda. Lineage: Eukaryota; Metazoa; Arthropoda; Arachnida; Scorpiones; Buthidae. The record is from RNAcentral.